Hypanus sabinus (Atlantic stingray) is the source of this 758-nucleotide long non-coding RNA. RefSeq lists it as uncharacterized. The record is from RefSeq and is a predicted model, not a curated record. Lineage: Eukaryota; Metazoa; Chordata; Chondrichthyes; Myliobatiformes; Dasyatidae. The transcript has 3 exons.
CUUGGACGGAAUGACCUGGGAGAUUCAGGAGUGAAACUGGUGUCUGCGGCUCUUGGGAACCCGGAGUGUAAAAUACAAACACUGAAUCUGAACCAUGUCGAACUUACAGAUUCUGGUGCUGAGGAUCUCGCCUCCGCUCUCAGUACAAACCGAUCACUGAUAGAGCUGGACCUGGGAUGGAACCCGCUCACAGACCAGUCUGUCCCUGCUCUCCGCCGGCUCAUACUGACCCACCCGAGUCUGGAGCAGAUCAUGCUGGCGGUGAAUAAUUUCAGUGGGACUGGGGAGAAUGAACUGGAGUCUCUACAGGAGUCUAGACCCGGACUGAGAGUGUACCUGUAAACGUCUGAAUGUGUGAAUAUACCCGUCCACAAGAUGGAGACAAUUUGGCCGAUACCACCCCCCCCCCCCCCUUAACUCCCGCCCUUAUCUUUCCGCACUCCAGAAGCAAUUCGCAAGGGUUCAGAAAUGACCCUGGAUCUGCGGUGAUCUGGGACACGGCCCUGAAGUGUGAUUUGAUAAUCAUCAGUUCCGUGAUGCAGAGUGACAGUGAGAAACGGGACUGAUUAUUCAAACUGCCCCUGGUUGUCGCCGGUCAGUUAAUUGUGUGUGACUGUGAGUGAGUCGGGAGCAACUCAUUUAUUCCCGAACGUCAGCAGCUCACAAAUCGUUUAAUUUACAUUUGUCGAUGAAAUCAAUAAACCACUGUAACAUCCUGUCUUCGUUUCGGACGAGUUUGAUUUGAGGUUUCUGCUGUC